Molecule: long non-coding RNA, 811 nt
Filed under: Mytilus galloprovincialis (Mediterranean mussel)
Lineage: Eukaryota; Metazoa; Mollusca; Bivalvia; Mytilida; Mytilidae
Source: RNAcentral
GAUAUUUGGGAUCGAGCACUAUAUGAUUAAGACAAUUGAUGCUACUUCUAUUUUGUUCCAAGUCGUAUCAGAAGCUUAACAACACGUGUUCAUAUGCAAUACGAAUUAUAAUUAAUGCACUACAGAAACUCUGUAAAGGAGAUAAAUAUCGGACUUUAAGGUUACUUUUCUUCCCUGAACAGAAAGUACCAUUAGUAUGUAUGAUUGCCCAUUUCAUGAUAUGUUCCCUGACAGAAUAGUCAACUAGCAAAAUUAACUACCAAUAUUUGUAAAUUCUUUCAAGUGAAUCAUUUUUCUAAAGUGUCUGAUAGUAUGUAUAUGAAAUGAUCAAAAUCAAGUUUGAUUUUCAAUUUUAACGACGGUUAGGAAGUUGAAACUCUUUUAUUCUACAUCUGAAUAAAAAUAAUUGUUAGAAAUUACAAAGAAUUGUCUCCCUUCCACCAUAUAAAUAAAUCUUGACUCUAGUAAAAUCACUUAGUGCUGUAAGAUACAUGAUUUCUUUCAAGUACAUAAGUGUUUGUGUUCGAAUUUCUCCCUUAAUUUGAAGGAAAGCAAAAAUGAUAUAGAAUCUGCUAAUAAUCUGCAAUGAUUUUUGUUUUGUUUUGGGAAAAUUGACUUAUAGUCAAAACAACAUAGAAUUGUAUGUUUAUCCUAUGAAAUAUGCAAUAAAUACUUUUUUUUCCGAAAUCUUACAACAAUAUUUCAGGUAAGGAUGUUAAACCGGAUUAUCAUACAAAUGGUGAUAUUUAUCAAUGAUAGAGAAUUUAUCUUAAUAAUUGAUAACACAUUUCCAUCUUUCCAAAUUCAGAAG